CAUUGCAAAGAAGAUGCAGGAGUGCGUUGAAAAGAAGGAUCUGGGGAAACGCCUGAAGAGGCCGCUUAAAAUGCCUAAGAGAUAUGAGUCUUCUUCAGAUGGUUCUGAUACAGAACCGGUUAAGAAAACAUCUUCAGAGACCAGCAUGGCAAAACAGUGCUUACAGAAACACAAGUCAGGUUCCACUGCUGAAACACGAGAUGUUGAAGAAGACCAUUUGAAGAGUGUACAGCUCCAGAAAGAAAAUCAGGAUCUUAAGGAAGAGAAUCAAAAUCUUAAGGAAAUGCUCUUCAAAGGCAUGUUAAAACAUUUUGUAUUAUAGCAGCGAUUGGGUGUCUGCUGUGUGUUUUGGUUCUGUGUUCAAAAAUACCUUUCUCAAUUUUCUUUUUCUGUAGUUUGAUGUAGGAUUUUAGAAAGGAAGUUUGCAGAGUUCGUUAUCAACUAUGCUGUUUUGGAUUGUGUGAUAUUUUCAGUUUUUAAAGUUUACAAAUUCUUAUUAUCUUGAAAAGGUAAAACAUUUUUUUCUCGAAAUAAAACACUGAAAUGUCUUAAGGUAAGAUUACUCAAACAAUUGAGGUAUAGGCACUGUCGCAAAAAAAAAUCAGAUUAAAACAUUAUCUAAUUUUUAUAUUAAGAGUAUUUAUGUCCUUUAUAUUUCCUACUUUAAACUGUACAGUUGUAUGUCCAUUCUGCUAAAGCUUCUGUAUAAUAUUUGUGUGUGUGUGUGUUUUUUUUAAAGAAAUGCCUAUGUUUUUGACCGAAAUAAAAGAGAUUUUGCAUAGAUCCAUGAACAAUAUCAGACGUUCAUCAACUCCAGAAGUGGAUCCUCCAACUACACCAAAAUCAGGAAAUUCAAUGAAGACCGGAAACCCAACCCAGGUUCUUGACAAGGUAGAAAUAUAUCCAGGUACUGGGGUGUUCUGUGACAAACUUGUGUGGGCUUUAGCCAACAAUUCACACACAGCAACAUCAUUUGUGCGCACUCUUCUUGUGAAUCUAUUCCCUUUAGAUGUUUUGCUGAAAAGUAACUUGAGAGGGAGGAGCAAAGACACCACAGAGCACAGACCUGCAUUAGAUGCAACAAAGAUUGAUGCCAUCUACAGAGCAACUUUGCAGAAGUGGCAUAAUACCCCACAGGCUGUUAUUGGCUCAGCAAUCAAUGGCAAGUUGGCUGAACUUCGCAAUAAAAGUAAACAAAAACUACAGCAUACAUGGACUCAAAGUGAGGGAGAUGUGAGCACUGAAUGAGUAUGUCAUAAUGUAGCCUUGAUUUAAUAGGAAUCCAAAUAAUUCCAGUUCUUCCAUUUCUCAUUACAUGUUACAGUUCCUAUUUGUGUUUUGCAAAUGGCAUGUAAGGUAUAAGGAGUUUGUGUAUAACAUGUUUGAUAAAUAAUUUCAAUCUGUUAUUUGCACACACACAAAAAAUAAUAUGUGGUAUAAUGUACACCAUUGUUUAACUUGGCUAUUUUGUAUAAGCUUUUCCAACAUGAUUAUAUGUUUUUGUCAUGUUAGGUUGCUUGUUGUUGUUCUUGGAAUAUUACUUUUUUUAUUUUUAUCAAACCUUACUAUUUUGAGUCUACCACUAUUGGAAGAGAAGCCAUUUAGAGAUGGCCCUAAGUUGUCCUAAAAACAGCCAGUGUAAACGCACCAUUAGACUUUUAUAACAUGCAGGAUCACAUCUCUGAGUAUUGCAAGCCAAAUUAUCAUUUAGAGAUAUAUCACAUUGCAUUUUAAGAUAUCUCGAAAUGAUGUAGAUAUAUUUACAGACUUAAGAGCAAAUUGUGCAAAUUGACUAAUAUAUUGUUUUCUUAUUAUGAAUGAAACAAAUGUGUAUAUGACAAGUUUUCAAAAAAUAUACUUUUGUCAUAAUGUCACUUUGUUUAAUAUGCUUAUCCUUUUGUUGAUUCUCAUUUUGUUAGUCAGAUUGCUAUCCCCACAUUAUUUGCAAUAAGGGUGUGCCAGUUAUUGUCCACAACUGUAUAAUGGGGAAUAAUAUGUGAUUACUUAAAAACACUUCAGUAUAAAUGUUAUUUUAAUUGUGUUUUUUAA
Long non-coding RNA from Acipenser ruthenus (sterlet), 2049 nucleotides. RefSeq lists it as uncharacterized. The transcript has 4 exons. Lineage: Eukaryota; Metazoa; Chordata; Actinopteri; Acipenseriformes; Acipenseridae. The record is from RefSeq and is a predicted model, not a curated record.